AACGAACGCUGGCGGCAUGCCUAACACAUGCAAGUCGAACGGGACCUUCGGGUCUAGUGGCGCACGGGGGCGUGGCGCGUGGGGACCUGCCCUUGGGUUCGGCAUAACUCCCCGAAAGGGGUGCUAAUACGGGCUAAUAUAUUCCGACCAAAGGUUUGUCGCCUUUGGAGGGGCCCGCGUGGUCUUGGCUAGUUGGGAGCGUAAACGCCUACCAAGGCGACGAUCCGUAACUGGUCAGCGAGGAUGAUCCGCGACACUGGGAGUGAGACACGGCCAGGAAUCUUACGCGAGGCAGCAGUGGGGAAUACUGGACUGCCGGCGGAGUCAUGAUCCAGCUAUGCCGCGUGAGUGAUUAAGGCCGGAGGGUUGGAAAGCACGUUUAUCCGGGACGAUAAUGACAGUACCGGCAGAAUAAGCACCGGCUAACUUCGUG
This 433-nucleotide ribosomal RNA is filed under the name uncultured bacterium. RNAcentral's name for it is "partial 16S ribosomal RNA". It matches the Rfam family "Bacterial small subunit ribosomal RNA", at positions 29 to 507 of the family's 1533-position model. The record is from RNAcentral.